GUGAACGCUGGCGGUAGGCCUAGCACAUGCAAGUCGAACGGCAGCACAGUAAGAGCUUGCUCUUACGGGUGGCGAGUGGCGGACGGGUGAGGAAUACAUCGGAAUCUACUUUUUCGUGGGGGAUAACGUAGGGAAACUUACGCUAAUACCGCAUACGGCCUACGGGUGAAAGCAGGGGAUCUUCGGACCUUGCGCGAUUGAAUGAGCCGAUGUCGGAUUAGCUAGUUGGCGGGGUAAAGGCCCACCAAGGCGACGAUCCGUAGCUGGUCUGAGAGGAUGAUCAGCCACACUGGAACUGAGACACGGUCCAGACUCCUACGGGAGGCAGCAGUGGGGAAUAUUGGACAAUGGGCGCAAGCCUGAUCCAGCCAUACCGCGUGGGUGAAGAAGGCCUUCGGGUUGUAAAGCCCUUUUGUUGGGAAAGAAAAGCAGCAGGUUAAUACCCCGCUGUUCUGACGGUACCCAAAGAAUAAGCACCGGCUAACUUCGUG
Molecule: ribosomal RNA, 491 nt
Filed under: uncultured bacterium
Lineage: Bacteria
Description: partial 16S ribosomal RNA
Rfam family: Bacterial small subunit ribosomal RNA
Source: RNAcentral